UGCAGUCGAGGGGUAUAGGUUUUCGGACCUAGAGACCGGCGCACGGGUGCGUAACGCGUAUGCAAUCUACCUUUUACAGAGGGAUAGCCCAGAGAAAUUUGGAUUAAUACCUCAUAGUAUUAUUGAAUGGCAUCAUUUAAUAAUUAAAGUCACAACGGUAAAAGAUGAGCAUGCGUCCCAUUAGCUUGUUGGUAAGGUAACGGCUUACCAAGGCAACGAUGGGUAGGGGUCCUGAGAGGGAGAUCCCCCACACUGGUACUGAGACACGGACCAGACUCCUACGGGAGGCAGCAGUGAGGAAUAUUGGUCAAUGGGCGCAAGCCUGAACCAGCCAUGCCGCGUGCAGGAUGACGGUCCUAUGGAUUGUAAACUGCUUUUGUACAGGAAGAAACACUCCUUCGUGAAGGAGCUUGACGGUACUGUAAGAAUAAGGAUCGGCUAACUCCGUGCCAGCAGCCGCGGUAAUACGGAGGAUCCAAGCGUUAUCCGGAAUCAUUGGGUUUAAAGGGUCCGUAGGCGGUUUUGUAAGUCAGUGGUGAAAGCCCAUCGCUCAACGGUGGAACGGCCAUUGAUACUGCAAGACUUGAAUUAUUAGGAAGUAACUAGAAUAUGUAGUGUAGCGGUGAAAUGCUUAGAGAUUACAUGGAAUACCAAUUGCGAAGGCAGGUUACUACUAAUUGAUUGACGCUGAUGGACGAAAGCGUAGGGAGCGAACAGGAUUAGAUACCCUGGUAGUCCACGCCGUANACGAUGGAUACUAGCUGUUCGGAGCAAUCUGAGUGGCUAAGCGAAAGUGAUAAGUAUCCCACCUGGGGAGUACGUUCGCAAGAAU
This 832-nucleotide ribosomal RNA is filed under the name uncultured bacterium. RNAcentral's name for it is "bacterial SSU rRNA". It matches the Rfam family "Bacterial small subunit ribosomal RNA", at positions 56 to 895 of the family's 1533-position model. The record is from RNAcentral.